RNAcentral lists this long non-coding RNA (8434 nucleotides) under Zea mays. RNAcentral's name for it is "long non-coding RNA (ZMAY_LNC002775)". The record is from RNAcentral. Lineage: Eukaryota; Viridiplantae; Streptophyta; Magnoliopsida; Poales; Poaceae.
CAAACAAACCAUAAAUCAAGAAAACUGAGUAAGUAUAUUUGUUUUAGAACAAAGUAAGUAUGUUAUAUCCUGCCAUACAAGCCCAAGAUUAUGAGGAACAAGCUCUGAAUAAUCUCAUAAAUCAAGAUGUUGCCAUACGACAUACUAUUGCAUGGAAUGUUGCUUAUUUAUUACCAUCCUACACUCACGCUGCCAUGCAUGACAAUGUAUCGCAUAUUGUCACUCCGAGCCAGAGAAUUCGAGGUCGGAUCCUUUCUCAUGAGAACUUGCUGGGACCUAUGGAGGGCAUCGCGUCGGCGUGCUUCAUGGAUCGGGUGGAUCAGAGUCGAUGGCGAUUGGGACACUCUUGCCAGCACGUGUUUUGAUCAGGCCAGCACGGCAAACCUGGUAAAGUGAAGCAGCAGUAACAGCUCUUGUAACCAGGGCACUGAGCCUUCAAACACAAUUUGAUGUUUAUGUCGCUACUUCCCAACAUCGUCUUCUCUCCGUCCGGCGGCGGCCGCCGGAGACCGCUAGCCGGUUUCGUCUCCACGUCAUGGCCGCCUGCAAUCGCUGCACUUCACUGCAUCAAUUCUUUUCUUCUAAAUUGAAUAUGAAUAACAAAUCGUGUGAUGGGGUUCACGUACCACAGUUUGCAGCGAAAACGAGACAUGUCAUCAUCAGAACGGCGAGGAGAACCGGCGUCAGCCUCAUCGCAUUCAUCUCUCCUUGGGUCAAUACACCAGUGUAUGCGAAGCGACUUGUCGAUGAAUAAUCGAGCAAACCACGAGUAAUGUAUAUAUAUAUAUAUAUGCUAAAGGCUUACGUCAUGUUAUAUAAAGCAUUAAUAAGGAAUAUAUAUGUAAAGCAUUAAAUCAUUAAAUUACUGAUGAUAGAUGUGCACCAAAUUAAUAAGGAAUAUAUAUGUAAAGCAUUAAUAAGGAAUAUAUAUGUAAAGCAUUAAAUCAUUAAAUUACUGAUGAUAGAUGUGCACCAAAUUAAUAAGGAAUAUAUAUGUAAAGCAUUAAAUCAUUUUAUAUAUCAUGUCCGAAGGAUACACAGGUAGUACAUAUGAUAGAUAGGCACCAAAUUAAAAAAUUUAUAUGGUAUCGGCUAUUAUAUCAUUUUAUACACCCCAAAGAUACACACAGUGGGUACAGAUGUAUAGAUGAUAGAUGGGCACCAAAUUAAUACUCUCUUUGUUCAAAAUUAGUAUUUACUUUAGUUCUUGCUUUUUAUUUUUAUGGUUAAAUAAAUAAUUAUGAAUCUCAACACAUAUAUAAAACAUAUACAUCAAAUAUUAUAGAAAUUAUUAAUUAUCUAAAACAAAUCUUAAUUUAGGAUGGAGGAAAAGUACUUCAUUUUAUACAUCCAAAUUCCAAAGGAUGCACAUGAUGGAUGGGCACCAAAUUAAUAAGUUAAUAACUAUAGCCAAGAUGGAAACAAAUAAUGUGCAAUUAUUUUCAGAUUACGUAGAUACAAUUUUUACUGUUGCUACGUAAUUAUGAUCUACUAAGUCGAUUGCUGAAUGAUUUGUGUAUUAGUUAGGAUAGGAGCAAUGAUGCUGAUUGAAAUGUUUUAUUUUUAAUAAGUAUCUUUUGUUUCAAAAAUAGUGUUUUAUUAUUGUAGCCAAGAUGGAUACAAAUAAUGUGCAAUUGUUUUCAGCUUACGUUAGAGUUCCAUGGAAUAUGUUAAUCAAAUGCAGUUUUUACUGUUGUGAAUUGUCUUGAAUCGUAAUUAUGAUCUACUAGUUUGAUUGGUGCAUGAUUUGUGUACCAGUUAGGAUAGGAUUAAUGAUGCUAAUUGAAAUGUUUUAUUUAAACACUUUUGUGUUAAAAUUAGUGUUGUAAGUGUUAUCCACUUUGUCUUAGGGUCCAUCAAAAUUUGUCCUAAAUCAAACUAUGUAAAAUUCGACCAAAUUUAUAAAGAAGCAUAUUAACAUCUAAAGAUGUGAAUUAUCAACAUAUAUUUCAUGAUAUUUUCAUUCAUAAAUUAUAUUCCUAUUUUAUAUAAUAUUGGUUGAACAACAUAGAAUAUUUUCAGCGAUGAGAUUAAAAAAAAUUAAAAUACAUAAAAACUAGAAAAUUAAGUCAUUUGAGUAUAUAUAGAAUUCUUUCUUUUUUGAUAUAUUUUAGAAUUUUACAUUAAAUAUUUUGGAUACUAAAUGAACUUAAAUAAAAACAUUCAAUUACAAAGAUCUAAAUCUUCUCAAAGACUAUAACUUUGGUAUAUGAUGUGUGUUCAUCCAAGAUUGUUAAUUUAAAAAACUGAAUAUCAAAAUAUAUGAUUAUAAAAUAAAUGUUUGAGAAACAAAAAAGUUCAAUUCAACAAUGUAUCAAUAUCAAACAUGUAAAUCGGGUCAACCACUGUAACAUUUUUGUAUAUACAUGCAAAUAUAAAAACACAUAUAAACAUAUGAACAUGCACCACUAGAGUCUAGAGACGACAUCUUUGCCGAGUGCCAAAGCUACUCGACAAACAAUCAAAUGCACUCGGCCAAUCCUUUGUCGAGUGUCGAUAGUGAUACACAUAAAUAGCAUUCUAGAUUUUAAAUUUUUAAAAAUAUAAUCUUAAAAUUUAUAUUUAAACUUUAACUAAAUUCAAAUAAAAUAGUUCAUUGAUAAAGUUGUACAUUGUAUCGAGAACAUCUCAGAUCGUUUGUAUGAACUUAAAAUAAUAUUUUUCUGCCAUAAUUUUUUUGAUAAAAACUUCUCAACUAUAAAGUUGUAGAAUGUGCCGAGAGUUACAAUUUUUAUAUAAAAUUUUUCGUCAUCUUAGUUCAUAUAGAAAAUGUACCAAUUAUUGUUGGAUGAAACUAUAUUUUAGAGACUUGCAUCAUAAUGGGAUUGCAUCUAUCAAGAAUAUGGUUCUCAUGAUGUUUUAAAUUUUGCAUUGCCUUCAUCUUGCCUAGCUCAAGCAAAUGGCACCUCAAAGUCACAAGAACAGCAGAAGAUCUCUGGCAUCUAUACACCAUAUAGAACUCCACCAUGUUCUUCUAGUGCUCAGUCUACAUCGGCUUUAGUCCCUCACAAACAGAAGUAGUGAUAGUUUACUCUAGUGGACUCAGGUUUGCACAGAAGUAUGAGAUUAAAGGAUCAAAACACUGCUUUAAACAUGAUUCUAGCACAAAAAAAUUGCAUCCCCUGCACACCUGAAGCACUCGUUCUUUCUUCGAAGAUUAUUCAAAACUUGGGGCCUAUUUUUGCAAAAUGAAUCUAGUUGAUCUUUAAGACGUAAUUAAAAGUGCAUCUACACCUUUGUGGGUUUUGGUGUUUCAAUGACAACACAAUUAAAGGUCUAAUACAAGUGUUAGGUGUUGAAAAGGAACUUAGUGAAAAGCAUACAAGGUUCAACACAUGAGUACAAUGUGAUAUUCCAUACACAACUGAGUCUAAAAAAGGCUUAUGGAUGUCACAAGAGAAGAAGGAUAUUCAAUAUACACUCAAGUUAGUUUGGCUUAAGGAAAGCUUGACAAGGUGAAGACAACAAGGAAAUAGAGCUUCAAGGAACUAAGCAAAGGAGAAAGUCAAGAGUAUUGUGGUACCAAAGCUAAGGUGAAAAAGUAAGUACUUGCAUUAAGUAGAAGAGCCAGUCAAGCUCAAGAUAGGUCAUGCUAAGGAAGUUGAUCUUUGUUGAAGAAGGUUAUGAAGAUGAGGGGUGGACAUUGAUUAAGUUGGUAAUCAAUGAACAUGACUUCGAGUCAGUUUGGCAUACCAAGGACUAAGGCAAGAAAGAAAUUUGAGGGACUAAGCAAGGGAGAAGGUCAAAAAGAUUGAGGUACCAAAAGCUAAAGUGAAGAAGAGACUUCUUGCAAGGAUCAAAGCUGAUCAAGCUGUGAAGAGUUGUGUGAUAUUGAAGACCGCAACAUAAGAAGACGAGACUUGAAACCAUCGAUACAAGCUCAAGAAAUGGAUAGGGUCACAAGAUCAAGGUGAAAGUACCAAAGUCAUAACCUUGAAGGGCUUUCAAGUGUGCAUACUUAGAUUAAAGAGCCGAACUGAGAAUCCAAGGAAGAAUUAGUUUGUGGGGGAACUUCAGAGUUUAGAAAAGUUAUUGUUGACCUUUGGAACACAAUGGAGCUCAAAGAUGUGGCAGAGUUGAUCUAAUUUAGAGUUUAGGUUCCAAGUGGCAUUUAAAGUAAAAGGUUGAAGAAAAGGAUAAAUUUGAGUUCAUAAAAUAAAGGUAAUUCAUGACUUAGACCAUUUGGAUAAAGUAUAACUAUGUUUAUCUAAAUCAUCGGAAGGUGCUCAAAGUCGGUCAAGUUGAAUGAAAGAAGAUGUGCAAAAAAUGUCAAGUUUUAGCUUUCUAGGGCGCACUAGACCAUGGGUCCAUGUGAACCGGACCUUCUUAACAACAGGAUCUAGAAUUGGUCUUCGAUGGCCUAGUGCACCGGACCACUUUUCUAGAGAAGUCAAAUUGAAUACUUGGUGGCCUAGCGCACCGGACCUCCUAGGUCCAAUGGCUAAUACGAGGCAACGGUUGACUUCAAUGUCUAGCUGACAUGGCGGUUGUGCUGGCACGGUCCGAUGGUGCAACGAACCAGUCCAGAGCUAGCCCAGAUGGAAAGUUUCUGUCAGGAUCCCAUAGAUAGUGGGACUAUUGAGGUCCGGUGGUGCUCCCACUACUACAAAGAUGCUCUAUAGAGAUGGUUUGUAAUCCAUUUUCACUGGCGUUUUUCAGAAACGCUAGUGGUGGGAGCCAGUGGAAAUCGAUCUUUCCACUGGCGGAUAUUUUAGAAAUCAAUCUUAAAGCAAUCAUUAGUGGAAAAAGUAUUUCUACUAACAAUUUUCUAAAAUUAGCUGCCAGUGGUAGUUUUCCUGCCUUUUUUCAAAAUUUCCACCAAAACUAAAUUAUAUAUAUAUACACAAACACACACACACACAUAUAUAUAUAUAUAUAAUAUUGAUAUUGAAAGCAACAUGGAAUUAAAUUCUAUCAUACAUUUAUAUACAACAAAUUUUUUGUUUACAACCAUAAAGUUACACAUAUAUGCAUCACACAUUCUAUACAUGAAAGUUUUCACCUAAGCCCUAAUAACUAUCUCGGCUAAGAUUUAGUCUACUAAUUUCUAUUUGUACUCUAAACUCUAUCCCAGCUAAGGUUAUGUUAGCAUCAUGACAUUUUCCUUCACAUAGAAUGACUUUUCUAUAUGAAUGAGCAUAGGUCCUCAACUAUGUUGUACAAUGUAACUUGGGUCAUAUGGUCCACCUUUUUAGUUGAAAUUCCUGUUAAGGAAGUUUAUAAACAUAAUAUAUUUACACUCAAUAAUACAUUUGCAUCUUUAAUGAUAGAACUAUAUAUGUGACUAUUACUAAUGAUACCUUAUCAGAGUUCUUGAUGCAUCGUUCAUUCUGUUUCAUGAACUCGCAGACAUAUAACCCACAGAGGACCGAUCUAGGCGGUUGCUUAUGGCACUACAUAAUUGGAAAUUGGUUAUUUAGUUGCAACAUUGUCCUAUGUACAUACAUGUAUGAUAUGUAUUCAUAAAUUUACAUAUUUAUCGACCAUUUAUAGUAUAUUUGCAAUGGCUCACCUUUUUUGAUAUAUCGUGCAUUCCACCUUUAAGCUUAUAGAACCUAUAUGCCCUGUGAUCUCAAAUAGAAUCACCAUUUUUUUCUCAAACUCUCAUCGAUAAAAGUCUGCAUGCAUACAAAGGCUUACACUCUAAGAUGGUGAUGAAUUGUGCAUAGUUUGAAGAUUCGUAAUCUAAGGAGUCAAGCACCAGAAGUGGUCACUGUACGAAUCAAAUUUGUGAUGCAUGUGUAUGGAAAUUGUUAAUUAUUUAUACAAACUCACACUUACUUAAAGUUGUAUGGGACCACUAUGACUUCCCUUUUUUGAAAUCGAAGAAUUCCAUGUUCUAGGUAGGUGGCAUAUCAGGCAUGAAUGUCCUUCUUCAAUUCCUCUAUAUGCUUCUUAACUUCAUGCUGUUUUACCUACUUGUCAUGAUGUUGUCUUUGAUUCUCAUGCCAUGUUUGCAUCAUCUAGCUCUUCAUAUGAUCAUGGUAGGAAUAGACCUAGGGGCCAUCAUGUUGCUUCUCAUGUGCCUAGGAAUGCAUCAAAUGGACCAACCAUGCUUUAUCAAACUUAUGGUGCUUCAUUUGUUCUUUUGUGCAAAAUUGCUAAAGUAGUUGCUAGAAAGUUGGGGCCUAAGUGCAAGAGAGAUAAAACUUGCAUCUGGGUUCCAAAGUCUUAUGUGACUAACCCUAUAGGAUCCAACAAGAGUUGGGUACCUAAAACCCAAGCUUAAAUUACCUUGCAGGUUUAUGCAUCCGAUGGCACAAGCUGGAUUAUUGAUAGUGGAUGCACGGACCACAUGACGGGGGAGAAGAGAAUGUUCACCUCCUACAUCAAGAACAAGGAUUCCCAAGACAUAAUCAUAUUUGGAGAUGUGAACCAAGGCAAGGUCAAAGGUCUGGGUAAAAUAGCCAUCACUACCGAGCAUUCAAUUUCUAAUGUGUUCUUAGUAGAAUCACUUGGUUACAAUUUACUUUCUAUAAGUCAAUUAUGUCAUAUGGGCUAUAAUUGUUUAUUUACAAAUAUUGAUGUAUCUGUCUUUAGAAGAAGUGAUGGUUCAUUAGCUUUUAAAGGUGUAUUAGAUGACAAGCUCUAUUUAGUUGAUUUCUCAAAAGAUAAUGCUGAUCUAGAUGCAUGUUUAAUAGCUAAGACUAAUAUGGGCUGGCUCUGACACCGCUGUCUAGCACAUGUUGGGAUGAAGAAUCUUUAUAAGCUUCUAAAGGGAGAACAUGUGUUAGGACUAACCGAUGUCUGUUUUGAGAAAGACAGACCUUGUGCAGUGUUCCAGGCAGGAAAGCAGGUGGGAACUACUCAUCAAACCAAGAACGUGAAGACAACAUCAAGUCCACUGGAACUCCUUCAUAUGGAUCUCUUCGGGCCCAUUGCUUAUCUUAGCAUUGGGGGAAGUAAGUAUGGUUUUGUUAUUGUUGAUGACUUUUCCCGCUUCACUUGGGUAUUUUUUUGCAGGACAAAUCAGAAACCCAAGGUACUUUAAAGCGCUUCCUAAGGAGAGCUCAAAAUGAGUUUGAGCUCAAGGUAAAAAAGAUCAGGAGCGACAAUGGAUCUGAGUUCAAGAAUCUUCAAGUUGAAUACUAUCUUAAGGAGGAAGGCAUCAAGCAUGAGUUCUCCGCUCCCUACACACCACAACAAAAUAGUGUAGUAGAGAGAAGGAAUUGGACGCCCAUCGACAUGGCAAGGACAAUGCUUGUUGAAUAUAAGACACCUGAGCGGUUUUGGUCAGAAGCUAUAAAUACAGCUUGCCACACCAUAAAUCGGCUCUGCCUUCAUCGCCUUCUCAAGAAGAUAUCCAACGAGCUUCUAACCGGUAACAUACCCAAUGUUUCGUACUUUCGUGUAUUUGGGAGCAAAUGCUUCAUCUUGGUUAAGAAAGGUAGACAUUUGAAAUUUGCUCCCAAAGCUGUAGAAGGGUUUUUACUAGGUUAUGAUUCAAAUACAAAGGCAUAUAGGGUCUUCAACAAAUCAUCGGGUUUAGUUGAAGUCACUAGUGACGUUGUAUUUGAUGAGGCUAAUAGAUCUCCAAGAGAGCAAGUUGAUCUUGAUGAUGUAGAUGAGGAUGAAGUUCCAAUGGUCGCAAUGCAAACUAUGGCAAUAGGUGAUGUGCGACCGCAGGAACAACAAGAUCAAGAUCAACCAUCUUCCUCAACAUUGGUGCAUCCCCCAACUCAAGAUGAGGAACAUGUACCUCAACUCCUUAAGAUGCAGGCAUAAAUCAAGGGGGGAGCACAUGAAGAAAAGGAUAAGGAGGAAGAAGCUCAACAAGCACCUCCAACUCAAGUCCGGGCAACUAUUCAAAGAAAACAUCUGGUGGAUCAAAUUCUGGAUGACAUCAGCAAGGGAGUAACUACUCGCUCACGUUUAGCUAACUUUUGUGAGCAUUACUCAUUUGUUUCUUCUAUUGAGCCUUUCAGGGUAGAAGAAGCCUUGCAGGAUCCAGACUGGGUGUUGGCCAUCCAGGAAGAGCUCAAUAACUUCAAGAGAAAUGAAGUAUGGAGCCUGGUGCCACGUCUGAAGCAAAACAUUGUGGGAACCAAGUGGGUGUUCCGCAACAAGCAAGAUGAGCAUGGGGUGGUGACAAGAAUCAAGGCUCGACUCAUGCAUACUAUUGCAUGGAAUGUUGCUUAUUUAUUAUCAUCCUACACUCAUGCUGCUAUGCAUGACACGGUAUCACAUAUUGUCACUCCAAGCAGGAGAAUUCGAGGCCGGAUCCUUUCUCAUGAGAACCUGCUGGGACCUAUGGAGGGCAUCGUGUCGGAGUGCUUCAUGGAUCGGGUGGAUCGGAGUCGCUGGUGAUUGGGACACUCUUGGCAGCACGUGUUCUGAUCAGGCCAGCAUGGCAAACCAGGUAAAGUGAAGCAGCAGUAACAGCUCUUGUAACCGGCGCACUGAGCUUUCAAACACAACUUGAUGUUUAUGUCGC